AGAGAGAGACAUGCGCGCAUAUCAAUAAGCGGAGGAAAAGAAACUAACUAGGAUUCCCUUAGUAACGGCGAGUGAAGCGGGAAGAGCUCAAAUUUGAAAUCUUCAAGGUUUUACCUUGACGAAUUGUAGUUUAAAGAAGUGUUUUCUGUUGGAGUUUUGGUAAAAGUUCUUUGGAAUAGGACAUCAUAGAGGGUGAGAAUCCCGUAUUUGACCAUUAUUUUCAGCUGUGUGAUACACUUUCAAAGAGUUGGAUUGUUUGGGAAUGCAGUCCAAAAUGGGUGGUAAAUUUCAUCUAAAGCUAAAUAUUGGCGAGAGACCGAUAGCGAACAAGUACCGUGAGGGAAAGAUGAAAAGAACUUUGAAAAGAGAGUUAAACAGUACGUGAAAUUGUCAAAAGGGAAGCGUUUGACACCAGUGUUGUUUUCUCGAAAAUCAAUUAAAAAGAGUUAGAUUUUGUUGUGUAUUGACCUUAACAGCUUGCAUUUCAAUUUUCUUGCUUUUUUUAAUGCACUUUUCGUUUAACAAGUCAACAUCAGUUUCUUUUGUUGUAAAAAGGUCAUUGGAAGGUGGCUUUCUUUUCGGAGAAAGUGUUUAUAGCCUUUGACUCCUGCAAUCGGAGAGACUGAGGUCUGCAGCGUAGAUCCUUCGGGGUUAGAUACAUUUGUGCUAAGUUAUAGCUUUUUAUAGACAACUUGUUGACUAUGAUUAGUCUUGUAGCUUACUCGCUUAUGCUAUUUUACCUACGCUUAGGAUGUUGAUGUGAUACUGCGAGCA
Molecule: ribosomal RNA, 774 nt
Filed under: uncultured Neocallimastigales
Lineage: Eukaryota; Fungi; Neocallimastigomycota; Neocallimastigomycetes; Neocallimastigales
Description: partial large subunit ribosomal RNA
Rfam family: Eukaryotic large subunit ribosomal RNA
Source: RNAcentral